GAGAAAUACUUGCAGAGCCAGCAGGUAGCUGGGCAGCUCCUUCCCGGAUGGACGGAUGGACGGACGCUGGGGACCCUGCACUCCAUAUGGAAAGAUGACAUGACCUUGUGGUAGAUCCCAGAACUGAGGCCCCAGGAUGACAGAACAGGAGACCCUGGUCCUGCUGGAAGUGAAGAGGUCUGAUUCCCCAGAGAAGAACUCACCCCAGACCUUGGUUCCCAAUGGCCGGCAGCCAGAAAGGGAAGGUGGAGCCGAAUCCCCGGGAGCUGAGUCCCUCAGAGUGGGGUCUUCAGCUGGAUCUCCCACAGCCAUAGAGGGGGCUGAGGAUGGUCUAGACAGCACAGUAAGCGAGGCUGCCACCUUGCCCUGGGGGACUGGCCCUCAGCCCAGUGCUCCGUUCCCGGAUCCCCCUGGCUGGCGGGACAUUGAACCAGAGCCCCCUGAGUCAGAACCACUUACCAAGCUAGAGGAGCUGCCCGAAGAUGAUGCCAACCUGCUGCCUGAGAAAGCGGCCCGUGCCUUCGUGCCUAUUGACCUACAGUGCAUUGAGCGGCAGCCCCAAGAAGACCUUAUCGUGCGCUGUGAGGCAGGCGAGGGCGAGUGCCGAACCUUCAUGCCCCCCCGGGUCACCCACCCCGACCCCACUGAGCGCAAGUGGGCUGAGGCAGUGGUGAGGCCGCCUGGCUGUUCCUGUGGGGGCUGCGGGAGCUGUGGAGACCGUGAGUGGCUAAGGGCUGUGGCCUCUGUGGGAGCUGCACUCAUCCUCUUCCCUUGCCUACUAUAUGGGGCAUAUGCCUUCCUGCCGUUUGAUGUCCCACGGCUGCCCACCAUGAGUUCCCGCCUGAUCUACACACUGCGCUGCGGGGUCUUUGCCACCUUCCCCAUUGUGCUGGGUGAGCCUGUGAGAAGAAAGGGGGCAUUGGGAAGUGGACUUGAGGAGGGCAGGGCCUGUCUGGCGUGGGGAGCAGGAGGGUUUCCCUUCACUUGGCCUGGGCCCCUCAGGGUCUCCCACCCCCUGCGAGUCUGCAUGCCCAUCUCCUCCCAGGACUACCUCCACCCCACUGUGUUGAGCCCAUGCACUGCCCACAGUGAACCUGCCCCCAGCUUACUGCCUCUUGCGCCCUUCCCCUGCCUUUUCUGACCCUACCCUGUGUUUCCCAACUCCACCCAGGGAUCCUGGUGUACGGGCUGAGCCUGUUAUGCUUUUCUGCCCUUCGGCCCUUUGGGGAGCCACGGCGGGAGGUGGAGAUCCACCGGCGAUAUGUGGCCCAGUCGGUCCAGCUCUUUAUCCUCUACUUCUUCAACCUGGCCGUGCUUUCCACUUACCUGCCCCAGGAUACCCUCAAACUGCUCCCCCUGCUCACUGGUCUCUUUGCCGUCUCCCGGCUGAUCUACUGGCUGACCUUCGCCGUGGGCCGCUCCUUCCGAGGCUUCGGCUACGGCCUGACGUUUCUGCCGCUGCUGUCGAUGCUGCUGUGGAACCUCUACUACAUGUUCGUGGUGGAGCCGGAGCGCAUGCUCACUGCCACCGAGAGCCGCCUGGACUACCCGGACCACGCCCGCUCGGCCUCUGACUACAGGCCCCGCCCCUGGGGCUGAGCCGCUCCGCUCUCGCCCUCGGAGUAGCGGGUAGCGGCGUGGGUCAGACACAUCUUUGAACCUUGUGGCCAGGCCUGGACUUCGCCCCCAGGCCUAGGACCGCGGUGGGUGGAACCCUGCUACUGCCCCAACAGGGACUCCAAUCAGUCAGAGUUCUCCCCUUGCCGGAGCUGCCCUUCACCUUUGGGGCCCCAGACAGUCAUAAGGGAUGGACUUAGUUUUCUUGCAGGGAAAAAGGUGGACAGCCGUGUUUCUUAAGGAUGCUGAGGGCAUGGGGCCAGGACCAGGGGAGAGACACAGCUCCUUCCUGAGCAGCCUCCCACCACUGCCACAAGGCUCCCUAAUGCUGGACUCUGCUCCACUCCCUGGCUUCCCGUGAGGCAGGAGGCAGAGCCACAGCCAAGGCCCUGACCACUUCUGUGCCAGUUGUCUAAGCAGAGCGCCUCAGGGACGCUGGAAAUGCCUUAAGGAUAGAGGUCGGGCAUCACAUCAAAUGGGACUGUGGUGUUUGGUGAAAACCUUCCUGGGGAUCUGGAUUCAGGACCCUCCAUGACUGGGCUAUUUACUAUUUACAGCUGGCCAGUCCAGAGCUGCUGCUCUUUUACCUAUUUAGGCCCCUGUAACUUCCCACCUUUAAACUGCACAGAAGCCAUGCCUCUCCCACGGGAAGAGGGGAGCAGACAGGGAAAUCUGCCUCCCAAGAGGGAUGUGUGUGUGUUUGUGCCCACACAUGGUGGCUGGGGAGUGCCUGGAUGGUGCGGUGGUUGAUGUUAACCUAGUGUGAGUGUAUGUGUGUAACAAUAAAUUACUACCAGUC
RNAcentral lists this small RNA (2416 nucleotides) under Pongo abelii (Sumatran orangutan). Its description in RNAcentral is "processed transcript". The record is from RNAcentral. Lineage: Eukaryota; Metazoa; Chordata; Mammalia; Primates; Hominidae.